CAGGAGAAUCCUUUCCAACGCUCCGAGCCUCAGUCUCCUCGUGUGUGAUGUGGGAAAUGCCAACUAUCGCACCCUGGAGGUGUUGUGAGGAUCCAAGGAGCGAGGCUACGCGAAUCGCUGGGCACAGGGCCUGGCAGAUUGAGAACCAGGAGCUCGCUGCUAAGUUGUCAGAGCCUUGGGAAUGAAUACAAAGGAGGGAAAGGACAGGUUUCUCUCCACCUCUUCUAUUUUAAAAGUACUCUUGCUUGAGUACACCACAGUAGAGGCUGCCAACUCGAACACUUGCAGGGUGGGGGUCGCGCCAGCCAAGGGCAGCCGUAGGGGCUCCGCCUGGAGCUGAGCCCGUGCCCUCCAGCCCCCGGCGGCCAGUGGGAAGGGCAAAUCUUCCAGUUUUUCUUGACAGGCUAGAAAGCUGAUUUUCUCUAAGAUAACUUUCAAUUAUUUAUUUAUUUGGUACCAGGGAUCAAACUCGGGACCUUGUGCUUGGAAGGCAAGCAGCAGAACCACUGAGCUAAAUCCCCGGACCUUCUGUGCCAGUCUGCUAUCUGCUCUGGCCCCCAGUAAUCUUUUUUCCAAAGUCAUGCGCACAUAGUAGUCAAACAAGUACGGCAGAAAAGAAAAGAAGAUCUCUCCUGGUCAAACCAUGGGCGGGGAGCCCGGAACUCUCUUGGCCUGAUCUGCUCAAAUCUGCCUUGAGCUCCUUGAAGAAAGCCUGCAGAGCCCUGGGCCACAGUGAAUCUAUGGUUCGUACUUUGACAGCCA
This 762-nucleotide long non-coding RNA is filed under the name Heterocephalus glaber (naked mole-rat). RNAcentral's name for it is "lncRNA (ENSHGLG00000043107.1)". The record is from RNAcentral. Lineage: Eukaryota; Metazoa; Chordata; Mammalia; Rodentia; Bathyergidae.